RNAcentral lists this transfer RNA (68 nucleotides) under Aeolothrips indicus. RNAcentral's name for it is "tRNA-Pro". The record is from RNAcentral. Lineage: Eukaryota; Metazoa; Arthropoda; Insecta; Thysanoptera; Aeolothripidae.
CAGGUAGUAAUUUAUUAAAAAUGCCAAUUUCGGAAAUUGGUAAAAAGAAGACUGUUUCUUCUAUCUGA